RNAcentral lists this ribosomal RNA (756 nucleotides) under uncultured Pseudomonas sp. Its description in RNAcentral is "bacterial SSU rRNA". It matches the Rfam family "Bacterial small subunit ribosomal RNA", at positions 28 to 776 of the family's 1533-position model. The record is from RNAcentral. Lineage: Bacteria; Pseudomonadati; Pseudomonadota; Gammaproteobacteria; Pseudomonadales; Pseudomonadaceae.
AUUGAAACGCUGGCGGCAGGCCUAACACAUGCAAGUCGAGCGGUAGAGAGAAGCUUGCUUCUCUUGAAGAGCGGCGGACGGGUGAGUAAUGCCUAGGAAUCUGCCUGGUAGUGGGGGAUAACGUUCGGAAAACGGACGCUAAUACCGCAUACGUCCUACGGGAGAAAGCAGGGGACCUUCGGGCCUUGCGCUAUCAGAUGAGCCUAGGUCGGAUUAGCUAGUUGGUGAGGUAAUGGCUCACCAAGGCGACGAUCCGUAACUGGUCUGAGAGGAUGAUCAGUCACACUGGAACUGAGACACGGUCCAGACUCCUACGGGAGGCAGCAGUGGGGAAUAUUGGACAAUGGGCGAAAGCCUGAUCCAGCCAUGCCGCGUGUGUGAAGAAGGUCUUCGGAUUGUAAAGCACUUUAAGUUGGGAGGAGGGGUUGUAGAUUAAUACUCUGCAAUUUUGACGUUACUGACAGAAUAAGCACCGGCUAACUCUGUGCCAGCAGCCGCGGUAAUACAGAGGGUGCAAGCGUUAAUCGGAAUUACUGGGCGUAAAGCGCGCGUAGGUGGUUUGUUAAGUUGGAUGUGAAAUCCCCGGGCUCAACCUGGGAACUGCAUUCAAAACUGACUGACUAGAGUAUGGUAGAGGGUGGUGGAAUUUCCUGUGUAGCGGUGAAAUGCGUAGAUAUAGGAAGGAACACCAGUGGCGAAGGCGACCACCUGGACUAAUACUGACACUGAGGUGCGAAAGCGUGGGGAGCAAACAGG